CCAAAAUUCACCCGAAGACCUGAUGGCAUCAUUAAUGUUGAUUGGGCCAUAAGCACGUGCCAGAGGCAGCGUGUGGAGCCGGGCCAGGGCAUCCCAAUGCCCACCCCGAAAGAAAAGAAAAAGAAAAGGACAAACAAUAAUCCUGGGGCACAACUGGCUCUCCUUUGGACUCCAACUCAAGUAGCUACAGAUUGUGGCUUUGCAAUUCUUUGGAAAAAUAAGUCCGGCAAAACGAAAUGGUGUGGGCUAAAGCAUGCUUAGAUGGCGGUGGAAACCUUUGUCUUGAAGAAUCUGGAGUUACCAAAGGCAGAAGCAUGGAAACAUGCCCGCUUUGAAGAGCUGACGAGAGUCUUUCCUGGCAAACUGCCUGGCUUUUGGUGGAUCUCUCCCUUCUCUAAAAUCUCCUGGAGGUUUCGUCAUUGGAGAAAGUCACGUCAUGUGUGUUUGUAAGCUGAAUUCCAGCAGGAAAAGCACGUCAAGUGUUCAGCCCGGUGCUUGGCACAUUGUAAACAGCCCUUACGCCCAUGACCGGAAUCCCUGGUGUGCUUGUCAGUUUCCCUCACUUGCUUGAAAGUUCCCCGAGGACCUCGGUGCCCGACGCCUAGUGAGUCCUCAGUGAACGCCCU
Equus quagga is the source of this 626-nucleotide long non-coding RNA. RefSeq lists it as uncharacterized. The transcript has 3 exons. The record is from RefSeq and is a predicted model, not a curated record. Lineage: Eukaryota; Metazoa; Chordata; Mammalia; Perissodactyla; Equidae.